UGGGGAAUAUUGGACAAUGGGCGAAAGCCUGAUCCAGCCAUGCCGCAUGAGUGAAGAAGGCCUUUGGGUUGUAAAGCUCUUUUAGUGAGGAAGAUAAUGACGGUACUCACAGAAGAAGUCCUGGCUAACUCCGUG
This 135-nucleotide ribosomal RNA is filed under the name Wolbachia endosymbiont of Macrolophus pygmaeus. RNAcentral describes it as "partial 16S ribosomal RNA". It matches the Rfam family "Bacterial small subunit ribosomal RNA", at positions 355 to 507 of the family's 1533-position model. Lineage: Bacteria; Pseudomonadati; Pseudomonadota; Alphaproteobacteria; Rickettsiales; Anaplasmataceae. The record is from RNAcentral.